CUCUCUAUGGUUACAAACCACCUCCCUUAACAUUCCUGGCUUUGGAUAAUACUAUUGUAGGUGCUGUUGUUGAUUUUGUGAAGGAUAGGCAGCGCAUGUCUUAGCUAAUUAGGCAGAAUCUGCUAAUGGCUCAUAAUAGGAUGAAACAGUAUGCUGAUAAAAGAGGUCUAACAGGACUUUUGAACUGGGGGACCGGGUUUACCUUAAGCUGCAGCCCUACAGACAGACAUCAGUAGCUCUAAGAAAGAAUUUUAAGCUAGCAACCACAUUCUAUGGUCCAUUUCAGGUGGAGGCUAAAGUGGGUUCUGUUGCUUAUAAAUUGAAGUUACCUCCCACAACAUCCAUUCAUCCUAUCUUUCAUGUGUCACUCUUAAAGAGAAAAGUAGGUGAAGGUACUCUUGUAGUCCAAAAUCUUCCCACUUUUCAGGAUGACAU
This 435-nucleotide unclassified non-coding RNA is filed under the name Hevea brasiliensis (rubber tree). Lineage: Eukaryota; Viridiplantae; Streptophyta; Magnoliopsida; Malpighiales; Euphorbiaceae. The record is from RNAcentral.